UUACUGGUUGGUCCCCUACUGGAUCUCAGAUAAUGAAAUCAUUCUUCUAUCAUUUUGUUAUUAUAGUCCUGAUUUUAUUGUGUAUGAUUUUAUAUAACUGUCACCUUACUUGUACAUUGAGGAAGAGAGUACAGAAAUGAAUCCAUAAUGCAGAACAGAAACAAUUAGAAAUUCUCCUCUCUGCCACUGUAGAGUAUCAACCCAUCUUUAAACUGGGCCUUAGGAAUUACCACAUGGGAAUCGAGGUGAAGAAAUUAAUGAAAGUCCCGCAGGGAGUGACUAGCACCCUUGAAAAUACCAUGUGGAAGUUUCUCUGUCCUGGUAAGAUUUUAUCGAUAAGAUGAGCAAUUGUUUUAUUGCUCAAAGAGGGGAAUGUAAGAAUAUUAAAUAGUUAACUUGUUUAUAUGUAUUUUAUGCUUUUAUAAGGUUUAUAACAUGAUUAUUGCUGACUGAAGGAAUAUUGAAUACUUAAAACUCAAUAUACGACAUAAUAUGCUGACUGUGACAGACUAAGGUAUUUCUUCUAUAGGAUGUAAGACAAUGCUAAAUUUCAGGAUGUCUUGCCCAUUCCGAUUUUAAGGUUAUUCUUUUCCAGACGUAUGCAAAAGCUUAUCUUUCCAUUGUCAGAAUAACGUAAUAUAAGGAAGUAAUAAAUCUUAUAGUCUGUACUGUAUUUGCAUAUACCAUGGCUAAUGUAAGCAAACUAUGUAUAAAAGCCAGCUCUGGAAUACACUCAUUUGAGAGUCUUGUAAA
This is a non-coding RNA of Pelobates cultripes (western spadefoot toad), 753 nucleotides long. The record is from the annotation of a GenBank genome assembly. NCBI's taxonomy places the organism in Eukaryota, Metazoa, Chordata, Amphibia, Anura, Pelobatidae.